UUUUCUGGGGUGAACUGGGCAGAGGUUUGACUGGCAAGCAGCUCUGGGUGUACAUUUCAUCCAAGAGUCUCAUGGUGGUCGAAGGAGAUCCCCAGAUGCAAAAUCAAAGUUGCUUGGAUUUCCAUUUCUUCCCCAUCUAGGAAAAGGGCAAUGGAAUCAAAGCCUUUAAAAAAUGUAGUAAGAGAAAGACUCUCUAAUUGAUCAGAACCUUCUGGCAACCAGCACUUUGGCCCAUCUACUGAAAAAUACUUUAUCAGUGUCUUUAGUAAAGGCCCCCAAGAUGCACAAUACAUUUUUGGUUGUUGAAAUAGAGUGUCUUCUAAGUCAUCAAGUAAAAGAGAAAUUCUGCUCAGAAGACUUUUGGAUAGUACCCAACAUUUGGUGAGGCUUACUAUAUUACAUGCAUUACCUCGCUAAAUCACCACAUUAGAACACUUACAGGCCGACUGUGCUGCUUUGUCUGAAUCUAGAACAAAGGAUCGGCCCUUAAGGAGGCUGAUGCGAUGUUAAAGCCCAUCACUCUAAAAUUGACACCACACCUGGGAAGAGCAGGCAGCACCAUCACUGGCUUUCCUGUUCAAGAAUGACACCUGUCAAUCAGGCAGGACAUCCCCUUGGGUCGUCCAGUCCAAGAAAACUCACUGGCUUCUUGAAAAGCCAAAGAGAACAAGAGAAAAGGGAUGAGGAGAGUGAACAGAGGGGAGGAGGGAACAAUAGGAAAGGGAGGAGAGGUGAGAAUAAAGAAAAGAGGGAGGAAAAGAGAAGGAGAAAUUGGAAGCAAAGGUAGAAUAAUGAGAGGAUGUGGAAGAGCAGGUAGAGGCAGAAGAACAGGUGGGAGAAAAGGAAAGAAGACAAAUGAGGAGAAGAAGAAGACAAGCAGUGUAAAAGAUGGUUAGAAGAGAUGGGAAAUACAAGAGAAAUAUGCAAAAUUCUGCCGCCACCAGAGGCAACAUUUGCCAACUUUUUUGCAGAGUGUUAAGCCCAUGAAACGCUCUAUGAUCAAACAAUUUUGGAAAACAGUGAAUUUAUGUAUACCCUCUUUUCUUGGAGUUUCACAAUGCAUGUUAGCAGAUUAAAGGCUCUGAGAAGUCUUGCUGGAAAGAAACCUGUUUUACUUCA
Molecule: long non-coding RNA, 1119 nt
Organism: Homo sapiens (human)
Lineage: Eukaryota; Metazoa; Chordata; Mammalia; Primates; Hominidae
Source: Ensembl